GGGGAAUAUUGCACAAUGGGCGAAAGCCUGAUGCAGCAACGCCGCGUGAGUGAAGAAGGUCUUCGGAUCGUAAAGCUCUGUUGUCGGGGACGAAUGUUGAGACCAAGAACAUAGGUUUCAAAUGACGGUACCUGACGAGGAAGCCACGGCUAACUACGUGCCAGCAGCCGCGGUAAUACGUAGGUGGCGAGCGUUGUCCGGAAUUAUUGGGCGUAAAGGGAGCGCAGGCGGGAAGGUAAGUCUAUCUUAAAAGUGCGGGGCUCAACCCCGUGAGGGGAUAGAAACUAUCAUUCUUGAGUGCAGGAGAGGAAAGCGGAAUUCCUAGUGUAGCGGUGAAAUGCGUAGAUAUUAGGAGGAACACCAGUGGCGAAGGCGGCUUUCUGGACUGUAACUGACGCUGAGGCUCGAAAGCCAGGGGAGCGAAC
This 425-nucleotide ribosomal RNA is filed under the name uncultured bacterium. RNAcentral describes it as "bacterial SSU rRNA". It matches the Rfam family "Bacterial small subunit ribosomal RNA", at positions 356 to 773 of the family's 1533-position model. The record is from RNAcentral.